Molecule: non-coding RNA, 23 nt
Filed under: Arabidopsis thaliana (thale cress)
Lineage: Eukaryota; Viridiplantae; Streptophyta; Magnoliopsida; Brassicales; Brassicaceae
Source: RNAcentral
GUCAUCCGCGGUUUCUUUGCUGC